GCACCACUUGGCGGAUCGGUCCAACGC
RNAcentral lists this small RNA (27 nucleotides) under Bombyx mori (domestic silkworm). RNAcentral's name for it is "ovarian small RNA-16300". Lineage: Eukaryota; Metazoa; Arthropoda; Insecta; Lepidoptera; Bombycidae. The record is from RNAcentral.